Molecule: ribosomal RNA, 492 nt
Filed under: uncultured bacterium
Lineage: Bacteria
Description: partial 16S ribosomal RNA
Rfam family: Bacterial small subunit ribosomal RNA
Source: RNAcentral
AGUGAACGCUGGCGGUAGGCCUAACACAUGCAAGUCGAACGGCAGCACAGUAAGAGCUUGCUCUUACGGGUGGCGAGUGGCGGACGGGUGAGGAAUACAUCGGAAUCUACUUUUUCGUGGGGGAUAACGUAGGGAAAUUUACGCUAAUACCGCAUACGACCUACGGGUGAAAGCAGGGGAUCUUCGGACCUUGCGCGAUUGAAUGAGCCGAUGUCGGAUUAGCUAGUUGGCGGGGUAAAGGCCCACCAAGGCGACGAUCCGUAGCUGGUCUGAGAGGAUGAUCAGCCACACUGGAACUGAGACACGGUCCAGACUCCUACGGGAGGCAGCAGUGGGGAAUAUUGGACAAUGGGCGCAAGCCUGAUCCAGCCAUACCGCGUGGGUGAAGAAGGCCUUCGGGUUGUAAAGCCCUUUUGUUGGGAAAGAAAAGCAGCACGUUAAUACCCCGCUGUUCUGACGGUACCCAAAGAAUAAGCACCGGCUAACUUCGUG